UUGUUUUUGCCAUUUCCGAAGAACAUUAUUAAUUAAUCUAGUUGAUUCAACAUAUAUGUCACAAAUAUGGAUUAUAUGUCAUGCAUCUUUAAAAGUAUAAUACAAUAUUAUGUCUCAAGACUGCGUUGAAUUCUGUCUUUGAAAUAAAAAAAAAAAAAAGAAAAAAAGAAAAAAGAGAUUUGUCCCUAUUAUCUGAACUAUUUUUGGGACGAGUAAUAGAAAGCCAACCUUUUUCAUUCACAUAAGCCAAUGUUUUUUCAAAUUGUUUUGUUUAUUUUAGAUUCUAGAUCGUAAAUCAACUGUAAAUUCUAGAAAAAGUUAUGCUUUGUCUUCACAACCAAACGGGUUUAUAUAUUUACUAUCUUUGUAUUUCUAUAUUUCUAUCUCAGAGACAAUAUUCAAAUAAUGUAGUGCAAUGCUAAACACCAUUAAGAGAUGCCAUCUUAUGUUGAUAAGAGAAAAUUUUGACAGUCAACAUUACAUAACCAACAUUGCAGCUAAUAUUUAAUAUAAGAAAAAAAAAAUCUAAAAUCCCUAAAAAUAAAAACAUUCAAAACUGAAUUAAAAAAAAAUUCAAAAUUUAAAAUUAAUAAAAGCUCAUCUUUAGUAGGUUUUAUACAGGAUUUGUUAGGCAACUUGUUAUACUGUUGACUAAAAUUGGCUGCUAUAAUGUUGUUCGCUCACAUUACUUACAAAUUUUAAAUUCGCAACUAAAACAGAGAAAAAAAUGUGAUUGAAUUGAUUAAUUAAUUGAGAAAUGUUAAGAGCCAAUACAUUUUAUCAAUAUUAGUCAAUAUUUAAUGUAAUACUUUAUUUUUAAAAGUUUAGGACUUAAAAUUAGUAUUUAAAACUUAAAAGUAUUGACUAAAAAUUAUAAAUUUUAUUGGUGAUAUAGUAUUUUUUAUCUAAACACAAAUUUCACUUUGAGAAAGAAGGCACGUGUAUUGCUGGAAUCAAAACAGCUCUAAAAGUAUUAAGUAAUAAGGCAUCUAUGGUUGCAUGUGUAUCAAACAAGAAAUAGUGGACACCUCACACUGCAGGACCUGGUUAUGCAGUUUUUCCCCCUUUACAAGUUUGAUAUUUAGUCUAAAAAUUUAGAAGUAAAUUGUCAUAUGUCACACAUGAACAUGUGCAUCCCCCAAAGUUGAAGAGCUAUCCAAGAAUUAAUUAAUCAUGAUAAUAGUUAAGAAGAGAUACUAUUGAAUUCUUGGUGAUUGAUAAGUGAUAGGUGUGGGGUUUCACUCAAUAUAAUUACACUCAACCGACAAAGGUAUGGUAAAGUUGUUGUUGAAGCCACAUGUGAUUCUUCAAAUCCAUGAACAGCUAGCACCACCACCAACCAUUUAAUUAAUAAUUACCAAGCAUCCAUGACCAUGACCAAUUGCCAAGAUCUGACUAGGACAAUUUGGUACCAUCCACAACUCUUUAAUAAUAGUUGUAUAAUAUUUAAACUUUAAUUAAAUUAAAUUUAACCCUAAAUCCAAUCACUACCUAUAUAACUCUAUAGGUUCAGGUGUUUUUGUUGCUUUGUUUUACAUCAUUAUUAAGCAAAUGUUGACCUUUAUAAUGUAGAAAAUAUUGCUCUAAUCCAAAAUUUCCUAAGCUAGUGACAUGAAAUGUAGAAUGAUAUUAUACGCACCAAUAAGUAAAGACAAGAGGGAAGAAAAAUAUUUAAAAAUAGAGAUAAGAUGUAAAAUAUAACUAUAUAAAUAACUAAGGGCCUUAACCCCAUGAAAAUAAUUAUGAUCUUAAUUGAUCAUUGCAGUUUGCAGUUUUGCACCAUAUAAAUAUUUAAAAAGACAACUCGUGGUACAACUAUUCAGGUUUCAGAGUUUUUCACAUCGUCCUGAUCUAAGCCAUUUAAAUAAGAUUCAUAACCACACAUCAUAUUAGCAUAAAAAAAUGGUUUGAUUCAUAUCUUAAUUACUAUUAGAUGGGAUAUUAUAUCUGAUCCUAAUAACACCAAAUCCAUUAAUAAGAAUGUGUGUGUAUGUUUAAUGAACAAUAUAAAAUUAAGUAUAUUAUCAAUACUAAUAACAAAACCCAGAAUAAUAAGAAUAGACAUUGAAAGGCAAAGUAAAAGUAAAAAAAAAAACCAACCUGUGUAGAGUUUAAAAGAUGUUGGGAGACUCCUUUGCUUAAUGACCCACCAAAUCUCUGAUUUAUUAAGACUAUAUAGACCCGGGUCUAUAAUCAUAGGCUUCCCUCUCUUAUUACUGAAAAAAGGGUAUUAAAAAAAA
Molecule: non-coding RNA, 2240 nt
Organism: Arachis ipaensis
Lineage: Eukaryota; Viridiplantae; Streptophyta; Magnoliopsida; Fabales; Fabaceae
Source: RefSeq, a predicted model, not a curated record